Molecule: ribosomal RNA, 468 nt
Filed under: uncultured bacterium
Lineage: Bacteria
Description: partial 16S ribosomal RNA
Rfam family: Bacterial small subunit ribosomal RNA
Source: RNAcentral
GACGAACGCUGGCGGCGUGCUUAACACAUGCAAGUCGAACGGAAAGGCCCUGCUUUUGUGGGGUGCUCGAGUUGCGAACGGGUGAGUAACACGUGAGUAACCUGUCCUUGCCUUUGGGAUAACUUCAGGAAACUGGGUCUAAUACCGGAAAGGAGCUCCUGCUGCAUGGUGGGGGCUGGAAAGUUUCGGCGGUUGGGGAUGGACUCGCGGCUUAUCAGCUUGUUGGUGGGGUAGUGGCUUACCAAGGCUUUGACGGGUAGCCGGCCUGCGAGGGUGACCGGCCCAGUUGGGACUGAGAUACGGCCCAGACUCCUACGGGAGGGAACAGUGGGGAAUAUUGCACAAUGGGAGGAAGGCUGAUGCAGCAAAGCCGCGUGCGGGAUGACGGCCUGCGGGUUGUAAUCCGCUUUCGCCUGUGACGAAGCGUGAGUGACGGUAAUGGGUAAAGAAGCACCGGCUAACUACGUG